GCGCGAGGCUUCCAGCAUACCAGAGUCCCUCCUCUGUGACCCUGAGCAUUCCUGAAGCGCUUGCCACAGUAGCCUUGAGAUGGUUUGAGGCCUUGCUCUGCUCUACCUUCGGAGCAAGGUUAUAGGAAUUUCAGGCACUA
Molecule: small nucleolar RNA, 140 nt
Organism: Ornithorhynchus anatinus (platypus)
Lineage: Eukaryota; Metazoa; Chordata; Mammalia; Monotremata; Ornithorhynchidae
Product: small nucleolar RNA SNORA9
Exons: 1
Source: RefSeq, a predicted model, not a curated record